Molecule: ribosomal RNA, 465 nt
Filed under: Vreelandella stevensii
Lineage: Bacteria; Pseudomonadati; Pseudomonadota; Gammaproteobacteria; Oceanospirillales; Halomonadaceae
Description: partial 16S ribosomal RNA
Rfam family: Bacterial small subunit ribosomal RNA
Source: RNAcentral
CCUACGGGUGGCAGCAGUGGGGAAUAUUGGACAAUGGGCGAAAGCCUGAUCCAGCCAUGCCGCGUGUGUGAAGAAGGCCUUCGGGUUGUAAAGCACUUUCAGUGGGGAAGAAAGCCUUGGGGCUAAUACCCUCGAGGAAGGACAUCACCCACAGAAGAAGCACCGGCUAACUCCGUGCCAGCAGCCGCGGUAAUACGGAGGGUGCGAGCGUUAAUCGGAAUUACUGGGCGGAAAGCGCGCGUAGGCGGUCUGAUAAGUCGGUUGUGAAAGCCCCGGGCUCAACCUGGGAACGGCAUCCGGAACUGUCAGGCUAGAGUGCAGGAGAGGAAGGUAGAAUUCCCGGUGUAGCGGUGAAAUGCGUAGAGAUCGGGAGGAAUACCAGUGGCGAAGGCGGCCUUCUGGACUGACACUGACGCUGAGGUGCGAAAGCGUGGGUAGCAAACAGGAUUAGAUACCCGGGUAGUC